CUUUAUAUAUAAGUUCCGCUUAUAUUCAAAAGCCAUUUGUAUUGUUUUCGUCUACUCCAAUCCUUUUUUCCUUCUUCUACGCAAUCUCUCGUUGUUGUAUCCUCAAGGCAAUAUGGGUCGUCUAAGGCCGACUAUUUACGUCGGAAAUCUUCCUGGUGAUAUUCGGGAGAGAGAAGUAGAAGAUUUGUUUUACAAGUAUGGGCCCAUUGUGGAAAUUGAUCUGAAAGUUCCUCCUAGACCACCUGGUUAUGCGUUUGUAGAGUUCGAAGAUCCUCGGGAUGCUGAUGACGCCAUCCGUGGGCGUGAUGGCUAUGAUUUUGAUGGGCAUCGCUUGCGAGUUGAACUUGCACGUGAUGGGCGAGGAUCAUCAUCAUAUGAUCGCUACAGUAGUUACAGUAGUGGGAGUCGUGGUGGACUUUCUAGGCGCUCUGACUAUCGCGUACUGGUCUCUGGACUACCAUCUUCUGCUUCAUGGCAAGACUUGAAGGAUCACAUGCGAAGAGCUGGAGAUGUCUGCUUCUCUCAAGUUUUCCGAGAUCGUGAUGGUAUGAGAGGGAUUGUGGACUAUACCAACUAUGAUGAUAUGAGAUAUGCGAUAAAGAAACUUGAUGACUCUCUGUUUCGCAAUCAAUUCUCUCGAGCAUAUAUCAGGGUGGACAAGUAUGAUAAGAGGCAUAGCUAUUCAAGGAGUCCAAGUCCAUAUCAUUCAAGAAGCAGAAGUUACUCAAGAAGCAGGAGUCCUCGACGAAGCUAUAGCAGCCAGAGCAGAAGUUUAUCUCCUAGGGGUAAAUACUAUCGUCGCUCUGUGUCUGUCUCACCCUCAGGGUCUUUUUCCCCUGCUCGCUCUCUUUCAAGAUCUGGCUUCCGCGGCGAUCUGGGGAUUGCUAUAUAGACAGGUGAUGGUUAAUGGUGCUCAAAUUCAGACAACUCGUUUGGUUGUGGCUAUAACCUGAUUUAGUGGAUGAGCACCUCCGGCAAACUCUGGAUGGUAAUUUCCAUUCUAAUAUGUUAUUAAGGUGGAUCUAACUCACAGCAAUAUAUCAACUUGUUUUGGGGCUAACCGUCUGAACAUGGGAAUGCAAUCCAAUAGACAAAUAAAAAUUGUUUUGCUUUAGCGCGUGGGACUAGAGCAGGCAUUUGUAUCGUUAUGGCUCUUAUAAAUUGGACAAGCAACCUCCAGGAAGAGUGUUGCAAAUGGUUUUUGUUUCAAUUUGACCCCGUUGGGUGAAUGGUGUUAGAGAUUGCGGCAGCUCUUGCUAAAUACUAUGAUUGUGGACAUGGAAGUAGCAUGGAUUCAUUUGGAAAGGUCAUUCUGGAACCUUUUGGCCACACAAUUCUAUGAUACUAACUAGAAUUGUUUCUGGGGUUUUUGCAGAUCUCUAUCAAGAUCCAGAUCUCCACUUUCACCACCGCCUCGUUGGAGGCACGCGAGGAGCCCGAGGAGGAGCAGGAGCAGGAGUCUAUCCUAUUCUCGCUCUUCGGGGAUGUCCAACUGAGACUUCUACAAGAAACAAGGAGAUAGUAGCCAAAAUAAAGUAUUAUGCAGACUUGCUGGAUGUUAAGGAACUGUAGUGUUUACUAUAUGAUGAUAUAAUUUCUUCAGUUGUAACAUUUAGAGGAGGAGCUUUGAAUUCUAGCUAGCUAGUUGUGUGUUUUAUAAACUUGUUCUAGGUUAAUCGCCAUGCAUGCCUUUUGAACUGCUAAGUGAAACUCGAGGAUGUAGAUCUGUUAUAUUUUUGUCUUGUGAUUCAGUUGUUGCUGCUACAA
This is an RNA transcript of Solanum dulcamara, 1767 nucleotides long. It is a transcript of the gene named serine/arginine-rich splicing factor SR30, with no coding region annotated. The transcript is spliced from 14 exons. The record is from RefSeq and is a predicted model, not a curated record. Lineage: Eukaryota; Viridiplantae; Streptophyta; Magnoliopsida; Solanales; Solanaceae.